UACGUAGGGUGCAAGCGUUAAUCGGAAUUACUGGGCGUAAAGCGUGCGCAGGCGGUUAUGCAAGACAGAUGUGAAAUCCCCGGGCUCAACCUGGGAACUGCAUUUGUGACUGCAGUGCUGGAGUGCGGCAGAGGGGGAUGGAAUUCCGCGUGUAGCAGUGAAAUGCGUAGAUAUGCGGAGGAACACCGAUGGCGAAGGCAAUCCCCUGGGCCUGUACUGACGCUCAUGCACGAAAGCGUGGGGAGCAAACAGG
RNAcentral lists this ribosomal RNA (253 nucleotides) under uncultured bacterium. Its description in RNAcentral is "partial 16S ribosomal RNA". It matches the Rfam family "Bacterial small subunit ribosomal RNA", at positions 524 to 776 of the family's 1533-position model. The record is from RNAcentral.